UAGGAAUCUUCGGCAAUGGACGAAAGUCUGACCGAGCAACGCCGCGUGAGUGAAGAAGGUUUUCGGAUCGUAAAACUCUGUUGUUAGAGAAGAACAAGGAUGAGAGUAAAAUGUUCAUCCCUUGACGGUAUCUAACCAGAAAGCCACGGCUAACUACGUGCCAGCAGCCGCGGUAAUACGUAGGUGGCAAGCGUUGUCCGGAUUUAUUGGGCGUAAAGCGAGCGCAGGCGGUUUCUUAAGUCUGAUGUGAAAGCCCCCGGCUCAACCGGGGAGGGUCAUUGGAAACUGGGAGACUUGAGUGCAGAAGAGGAGAGUGGAAUUNCCAUGUGUAGCGGUGAAAUGCGUAGAUAUAUGGAGGAACACCAGUGGCGAAGGCGGCUCUCUGGUCUGUAACUGACGCUGAGGCUCGAAAGCGUGGGGAGCGAACAGGAUUAGAUACCCUGGUAGUCCACGCCGUAAACGAUGAGUGCUAAGUGUUGGAGGGUUUCCGCCCUUCAGUGCUGCAGCAAACGCAUUAAGCACUCCGCCUGGGGAGACGCCGCAAGGUG
RNAcentral lists this ribosomal RNA (548 nucleotides) under soil bacterium LM2-P2-24. RNAcentral's name for it is "bacterial SSU rRNA". It matches the Rfam family "Bacterial small subunit ribosomal RNA", at positions 356 to 895 of the family's 1533-position model. The record is from RNAcentral.